AAAAAAAUUAUUAUAGUUUAAUUAUUUUAUUAUAAAUUUAUUUUACAUAUAAAUUUUAGUGUUAUUAUUUAAUUUAUUUAAAAAAUAAAUUAAUUAUUUAAGUAGUAAUUAAUAUUAAAUUAUUUAAGAAAUUAAGAUUUAGUAAUAUUUAAAUUAAUAACAAAUUUUGUGCCAGCAGUUGCGGUUACACAAAAAUUAAAUUAAAUUUUAUUAGAUAUUAAUAAAUAUUAUUUUUUAUAUAAUUGAAAUUUUAAAUUAUUAAGUGAAAUUUUAAUUUAAUAAAAUUUUAUUGUUAUAAUUAUUAUUUAAUAAAUUUUACAAAAAACUAGGAUUAGAUACCCUAUUAUAAAAAUUUAAAUUUAAAUACUAAAAAAGUAAAUAAUUAUUUAUUGAAACUUAAAUAAUUUGGCGGUAUUUUAGUUCAUUUAGAGGAAUCUGUUUAAUAAUUGAUAAUCCACGAAUAAAUUUACUUAAUUUAUAAUUUUGUAUAUCGUUGUUAAAAAAAUAUUUUUUUAUAAAAUUAAUAUUUUAAAAUUAAUAAAAUAAAUUAAAUCAGAUCAAGAUGCAGAUUAUAGUUAAGAAUAUAAUGGAUUACAAUAAAUUUAUUUAAAUGAAUGUUAGUUUGUAACAAUUAAUUGAAAGUGGAUUUAAAUGUAAUUUUAUUUAAUUUAAUAAAAUGAUUAAAAAUUGAAAUAUGUACAUAUUGCCCGUCGCUUUCAUAUAUUAAUAAGUUGAAAUAAGUCGUAACAAAGUAGAGGUACUGGAAAGUGUUUCUAGAAAGAC
Molecule: non-coding RNA, 783 nt
Filed under: Blenina donans
Lineage: Eukaryota; Metazoa; Arthropoda; Insecta; Lepidoptera; Nolidae
Source: RNAcentral